GAGUCCGGGGUUCCACAGUUGAGCAAAGGCUGAGAACCACUGCUCCAGAGAGCAGCUGCAGGCUGACUGCCUGGAAAUGGGCAAAGAGCCACUGAAAGUCAGCACCAUUGAGUGCCCUGUCUUCAGCCAAUGGCCUGGAGCACAAGUGCCCACGAGGUUCACUACAGCUGCACUUUAAGGACCUGCGAUCAUUCUCCCGUUUCUUCUGAGAAGUCUUGUGACAAACCACCCAAGAGAUUUAAGAGAUGAAUCCAACCGCGGGAAGCAAUCAACAUUUUUGACUUUUCUAGGUAUCAGGCCUCGUGCUAAAUGCUUUAUGAGGGUUAUUCCUCUUACCUCCCUCAGAAACUGGAGGAAGAAGUUUGGGGAAAGAAGCGGAAGAAAUGUGGACGUUAAGUCUAAGAAGUCCUCAACGGAGCACAGAUGAGCCAGAAAGAACAUGGUUUCAAAUUCCUCAAUUCGAAGCUGCUAGAUUGGAAAGGUCAAAUUGGAAGCUACGUCUUUAAACGUUUCAACUUGUCUUUAGUAGGGUCAUCAACAACAGAUGCCAUGGAGCAAUGCUGUGCACAUUCUAGAAUUGAGGCUCUCACAUUUUCAUCCGUAAAUAUCACCUGGAAGUGUGACAGAACUAGAGACUUUCAGUCUCCACCCGCAGAGAUACUAAUUCAGGACAUUUAUUAUCAGCUGAGAAUUGCUGGCAGACUGUACUGAUAGGAAGGUCAAAGCGACCACCAUUAAACCUGCAAGCUGGCUCUGUUUUAAGUUCAUUUGCAUCCGAGAAAGGCAUGGCCGCUAAUUACCUCAGAAACCGGAUUGAUCCACUUUUGGUCAUUUUACUGAGAAGCAUUGAGCAAGUGUGGCUGGAAUUCAGGAUGGCCCGGUCCUAGAAGUCCACCUGCACACGAGCUCACCCCCGUGCAAGCCGGGCUCCAACCUAAUCCACAGAGGCUCUACGUUGCUCUCAGUGAGCCACAUUACCAGGACGGCAUGCAAGAAUCAAGGGGCCAGAGUCAAGAGCUGCGUUCCAUUGUAAUUCUCCAGCGGUCAUGGAUAGCUGGAGCCUUUGAAA
Herpailurus yagouaroundi (jaguarundi) is the source of this 1069-nucleotide long non-coding RNA. RefSeq lists it as uncharacterized. The record is from RefSeq and is a predicted model, not a curated record. The transcript is spliced from 2 exons. NCBI's taxonomy places the organism in Eukaryota, Metazoa, Chordata, Mammalia, Carnivora, Felidae.